RNAcentral lists this small nuclear RNA (322 nucleotides) under Peromyscus maniculatus bairdii (prairie deer mouse). RNAcentral describes it as "7SK RNA (ENSPEMG00000007430.2)". It matches the Rfam family "7SK RNA". From Rfam's summary of the family: 7SK was discovered as an abundant small nuclear RNA in the mid-70s but a possible function has only recently been suggested. The record is from RNAcentral. Lineage: Eukaryota; Metazoa; Chordata; Mammalia; Rodentia; Cricetidae.
GGAUGUGAGGGCAAUCUGGCUGUGACAGCUCUCACUCCAUUGGUCACCUGGAUUCAUAGAGCUGAUCUGGCUGACUAAGUGAGUGUCCUCUUCCUCCCUCACCACUCCAUGUGUGCCUCUUCUGAAGUUAUAAGCUCCACUGAGAGGAUGCUCUUCUCAGAAUAGAGAAGGACCAAUCCAGUUGAGGUCUUCAGUUCACGUAGCUAUGCUCACCCAGGAGAACCUCCAAACAAACUCAAUGCUUAUUAAUUCUAAGUUUGAUUAAUUCCAAGACUAAUUUGGUUCUCUGUGUCAUCUUACUGCUAGUAAGUACUGUUAAUUA